Molecule: microRNA precursor, 67 nt
Filed under: Bombyx mori (domestic silkworm)
Lineage: Eukaryota; Metazoa; Arthropoda; Insecta; Lepidoptera; Bombycidae
Description: mir-2774 microRNA precursor family
Rfam family: mir-2774 microRNA precursor family
Source: Rfam by way of RNAcentral
AAAAAAUUCGGGCUGUCGGUCUACUGAGCAAUAUGCCCCGCUCGGUGGAAGAUCUUCUCUCCAUCGU